AGUCUUAUAUUCAAAAAAUGAUUUUAAAUUGCAAAUUUAAAGGUAAAGAAAACUUUUAAGGCUU
Molecule: transfer RNA, 64 nt
Filed under: Ctenochauliodes griseus
Lineage: Eukaryota; Metazoa; Arthropoda; Insecta; Megaloptera; Corydalidae
Also listed under: 1 other name
Description: tRNA-Cys
Source: RNAcentral